Molecule: ribosomal RNA, 449 nt
Filed under: uncultured bacterium
Lineage: Bacteria
Description: SSU rRNA
Rfam family: Bacterial small subunit ribosomal RNA
Source: RNAcentral
AGAGCGAACGCUGGCGGCAGGCUUAACACAUGCAAGUCGAGCGGGCGUAGCAAUACGUCAGCGGCAGACGGGUGAGUAACGCGUGGGAACAUACCUUUUGGUUCGGAACAACCCAGGGAAACUUGGGCUAAUACCGGAUAAGCCCUUACGGGGAAAGAUUUAUCGCCGAAAGAUUGGCCCGCGUCUGAUUAGCUAGUUGGUGAGGUAACGGCUCACCAAGGCGACGAUCAGUAGCUGGUCUGAGAGGAUGAUCAGCCACAUUGGGACUGAGACACGGCCCAAACUCCUACGGGAGGCAGCAGUGGGGAAUAUUGGACAAUGGGCGCAAGCCUGAUCCAGCCAUGCCGCGUGAGUGAUGAAGGCCCUAGGGUUGUAAAGCUCUUUUGUGCGGGAAGAUAAUGACGGUACCGCAAGAAUAACGCCCCGGCUAACUUCGUGCCAGCAGCCGC